Molecule: ribosomal RNA, 424 nt
Filed under: uncultured bacterium
Lineage: Bacteria
Description: partial 16S ribosomal RNA
Rfam family: Bacterial small subunit ribosomal RNA
Source: RNAcentral
AAUAUUGGACAAUGGGGGAAACCCUGAUCCAGCCAUCUCGCGUGUAUGAUGAAGGCCUUCGGGUUGUAAAGCACUUUUGGCAGAGAAGAAAAGGUAUCUCCUAAUACGAGAUAGUGUUGACGGUACUUGCAGAAUAAGCACCGGCUAAUUACGUGCCAGCAGCCGCGGUAAUACGUAGGGUGCAAGCGUUAAUCGGAAUUACUGGGCGUAAAGCGUGUGUAGGCGGUUCGGAAAGAAAUGUGUGACAGCCCAGGGCUCAACCUUGGAACUGCAUUUUUAACUGCCGAGCUAGAGUAUGUCAGAGGGGGGUAGAAUUCCACGUGUAGCAGUGAAAUGCGUAGAUAUGUGGAGGAAUACCGAUGGCGAAGGCAGCCCCCUGGGAUAAUACUGACGCUCAGACACGAAAGCGUGGGGAGCAAACAGG